GAUGAACGCUGGCGGCGUGCCUAAUACAUGCAAGUCGAGCGAACGGACGAGAAGCUUGCUUCUCUGAUGUUAGCGGCGGACGGGUGAGUAACACGUGGAUAACCUACCUAUAAGACUGGGAUAACUUCGGGAAACCGUAGCUAAUACCGGAUAAUAUUUUGAACCGCAUGGUUCAAAAGUGAAAGACGGUCUUGCUGUCACUUAUAGAUGGAUCCGCGCUGCAUUAGCUAGUUGGUAAGGUAACGGCUUACCAAGGCAACGAUGCAUAGCCGACCUGAGAGGGUGAUCGGCGACACUGGAACUGAGACACGGUCCAGACUCCUACGGGAGGCAGCAGUAGGGAAUCUUCCGCAAAGGGCGAAAGCCUGACGGAGCAACGCCGCGUGAGUGAUGAAGGUCUUCGGAUCGUAAAACUCUGUUAUUAGGGAAGAACAUAUGUGUAAGUAACUGUGCACAUCUUGACGGUACCUAAUCAGAAAGCCACGGCUAACUACGUG
This 497-nucleotide ribosomal RNA is filed under the name uncultured bacterium. RNAcentral's name for it is "partial 16S ribosomal RNA". It matches the Rfam family "Bacterial small subunit ribosomal RNA", at positions 28 to 507 of the family's 1533-position model. The record is from RNAcentral.